This is a long non-coding RNA of Gorilla gorilla gorilla (western lowland gorilla), 2946 nucleotides long. RefSeq lists it as uncharacterized. The record is from RefSeq and is a predicted model, not a curated record. The transcript is spliced from 4 exons. NCBI's taxonomy places the organism in Eukaryota, Metazoa, Chordata, Mammalia, Primates, Hominidae.
CCGGGCUGGGGCGGGGUGAGGCGCCUUAACCCCUUCGUCGCUGCGCCCCGCCCGCGCGUGGGACCCCUCAGCCUCACCCUCUCUAGGGCGCAGCAAGUCCGCCACGAGCCCCUCUGCUCAUCGCUCGUUACCCCCCAGGCCCUUGGGCUUGGGCUCAGGCCCAGUCGUUCCUCUGCAACAAAUCCAAUGGAACCGCGCCCUCCCUGAAUCCCACGUCUAGGAAGAGGAGGAGGAGCCCCUCUUGCUUGGGGGAAGGGGCUCCCGACUCGGAGCCCCGAGCCCCAUUCCUCUCCCGCGCCAGCUCUUCGGGACGCAGCCUCCCAGCGGACGCCCUGAGACCUUGCAAGUCCGCUAGGGAGGGGUCGGGACGAGCCGUCGCGGGUGGAUCCACCCGGCCGAGCAACGACCCGCCCGGGCGCGAGGACCACGGGCUGUCGUGCGGGAGGCGUCGAGGGGCAGUAAACUCCGUUCGUGACCAAACGGAGACGAUUUGAAACUUGCUGCUCACACUGGAUCACCGUCUGGAAGCUGACGGAGGGGUUCCCACUCUCAUGUGAUGGCAGUGGCCAAACACAACACCUGACACUGGACAGAUUCUGAUUUGACUGGUCCUGGGUGCAACGGGGCUGGCAUGAGACGACUAAAAACUCCCCAGGUGAAUCCAAUGAGCAACCAGGCUAAGGACCAGUGAUCUAACUAAUGUAGGCUCCAGAUGGCCUUCCAAACAAUACAUGUGGCCCUUCAUGCUCCAGGUGAUGACAAGUACCCGUUGCUGAUGGAAGUAGCAGAGUCAUACCUUUCUUGGAAUUUAGGUUCUACAGUCAAUGCUUAUGGCACCCAAUGAGUCAAAAACACCCUUGGCAACUCCUAAGGAAGACUCUGCCCUGGAACCUGACGUACUGUUUCCCCAUCACCAUCCAGGGAGCGUUUCCUCCUGGGCUGGAACAGAAAGCUGCCUCCUCCAUCAGGCACCAGAGGAAGUAGGGGGCUUAUGUUUAGGGACCACUUUGCAUAAAUACACAUUUAAACAUGUGCCUCACCCUCAGCACAGCAGGAUGCUCACGCCAUGAACAGCCAACAGGAACCAGAGUGACCGACCCUCCAGGAGGUACACACCUCCCUCCCAUCCCACCCACUUCUGAGCAUAUGGUUCUCACAUCCACCAGUGGGUGGAAUCACCCACACCAUUUAAACUUUUUGUCAAGGAUGUAGAGCUGAAUUCAUGUGAUUUCCCAUAUGAGCAAUGUCCCUCCCUCCGCUGCACAAUUAUAGCCAGCUCAAGCAGGUCCUCUCCUUCCUUCUACCUGCCCUGCAAAUGGCUCUCUCCUUCACUGACCCCCCCACCCUCCCUCUUAAAGGCUGAUGCUCCCUAGGACUCUAUCCUUGAUGCUUCUCAUUAAUUCUUCUCCCCACUGGCUCUCAGCCCUACUUAGGGCUCCUGAUCAGUUAAAAAAGACCCAUGAGACCUCCCCUCCCCAGUUAACAGAGAUGUGGCCCAAGAGGCUCCCCACUUCUAAUUUGAGUGGGGGCAAAAGAAGAGAAAGAUCUUAUCUAGGUCUUGGGGGCAGGGCUUGCAGGGCACAAAGGAACAGAGUAAAUGUGCAACAGGCUAUUUUCUUGAAUGAAUGGAUUCAUAAUAAGAACAGGACUUCACCAGCUUCCAAGGGACCCUCCCCACCUCUCGGAUAUAUUCUGAAGCCUAAAUUUCACCUGCUUAUCUAGGAUCCUAGGCCAGGCCUUCUGCCAUACCAAGCCACACCAAGCUCAGCAGUACUCACAGGCCUUUAAUCUAUAACUGCCCGGCCACACCAUCACUUCCCCAGGAUGGUGGGGAGGGAUGAAGAUGUAUAGCCAGGUAGGCCACACCAACUCUGAGUCCAAGAGGGAAGGACUGGGGUCAGGCUGGGGCUUGGGCAGGGGGCUCCCGGCCCCAGGCGAUGAGGGAGUUGCUGGCUUGGGCAAGCUCGGCGAUGGACACCCGGCCCCGCUGUCGGAUGAAGUUGGCCACGGCGGCCAGUUCCUCUGGGGUUAUGUAGAUGAACUUGCCCCGGUCGUCAAUCACACCUGUGGGGACAUGCAGGUUGUGGGGCUGAGGCCUCCUGGGCGUUCCCCACCUGGCCUGAGAAUGCCCACCUACUCCUUCACAGCUGGCUCAGGGCCCUUCCGGCCUCCUGCCUGCCUGGCCUUUCCUGGCUGCAUCCAGUCCUGCUAGGAGAGUCGAAUCAGGCUGCCCUGCCUGUCCUCUCCCACUGCUGCCACCUCCAGGCCCUGGCAUGUCCUCCUUGUAACUGCAUCCAGCUACUCAGUGCCCCUCGUUGCACACCCCUCCCCCCAUCUUGGGUGGUCAUCCUGCCUCUGCAGCACAUCCCUGCAGCCCCUGUGGCUAGACACUCUCCAAGGCCAGGACUGCAGUGAUUGGCUCUCAUCAUCUCACCUGUUAUAGUCCCCUCAGCCAGCAGGUCCUGGAUGCGAUUUAUGGUGUCCUAUGAGGAGAACAAUUCUCAGAAUAGAGAUAGGCACCAAUGUCCCCAGAAAAAGCACUGAAACCUCCCUCCCACUACAGCCAAAUCUCUUCAUUUCCCUCUCAUGCCACGCCCAAAUGUGACUCUGUGCUUUGCCUUUGGAAGGGCCCUGGGUAGAAGGGGCUCUGGUCCUGGGCCCUGCAAGACCCCCAAAAGAGUAUCUCUUCCUGUUAGAAGCGGGGCAGUGAUGUCUGCAACACAGGCUGGUGCAGUCUGUGCAUGACAGUUGUCAAGGUAACUGAUUUGGGCUGCUUUGGUCACAGGGGCUGGCGGAGUGAUGGGGUUUGGGGUUUUUUUUUUCUUUCCUGCCUGUUUAUCCAUUAAAAAUGCAGGAUUCCCAGGGUGCCAGGAGACUUCUGUGCACUACUCACUCUUGGUUGGGGACAAGGUAGACGGUGCAUCAAGACUCUAUCUUUAGGGCAGG